This 497-nucleotide ribosomal RNA is filed under the name uncultured bacterium. RNAcentral describes it as "partial 16S ribosomal RNA". It matches the Rfam family "Bacterial small subunit ribosomal RNA", at positions 28 to 507 of the family's 1533-position model. The record is from RNAcentral.
GAUGAACGCUGGCGGCGUGCCUAAUACAUGCAAGUCGAGCGAACAGACGAGGAGCUUGCUCCUCUGACGUUAGCGGGGGACGGGUUAGUAACACGUGGAUAACCUCCCUAUAAGACUGGGAUAACUUCGGGAACCCGGAGCUAAUACCGGAUAAUAUAUUGAACCGCAUGGUUCAAUAGUUAACGACGGUUUUGCUGUCACUUAUAGAUGGAUCCGCGCCGGAUUAGCUAGUUGGUAAGGUAAAGGCUUACCAAGGCAACGAUGCGUAGCCGAUCUGAGAGGAUGAUCAGCCACACUGGAACUGAGACACGGUCCAGACUCCUACGGGAGGCAGCAGUAGGGAAUCUUCCGCAAUGGGCGAAAGCCUGACGGAGCAACGCCGCGUGAAUGAUGAAGGUCUUCGGAUCGUAAAACUCUGUUAUAAGGGAAGAACAAAUGUGGAAGAAACUAUGCACGUCUUGACGGUACCUAAUCAGAAAGCCACGGCUAACUACGUG